Molecule: long non-coding RNA, 316 nt
Filed under: Monodelphis domestica (gray short-tailed opossum)
Lineage: Eukaryota; Metazoa; Chordata; Mammalia; Didelphimorphia; Didelphidae
Description: lncRNA (ENSMODG00000034063.2)
Source: RNAcentral
GCUAGCCUUAUUUCCUUUUACUUAGAGAUUACACUUGGUUAGCAGCUAUCAUCUGAAAAAAAGAAAUCUAUCUGAAGAGAGAAGUAUCACAGCAUUUGAUAUCCUAGUGAUGUUUGAAAACUGGAUUUUUGAUACCAGCCCCAGCAUAGUGAUCUUGAGGAAACCUCAGCUGGGCCUGGAUGACUGAGGCCAGUGUGACUCGGGAACCUGGAGGAAAAGAGGCUCAGAAGUGCUUGGAGACUUUUAAUUAGAAUCCUCUUGCUUUCUCUCUCCCUCUCUCUCUCACUUAUACUAAUAAAUAAAUAUAAUUCAAUAU